Molecule: ribosomal RNA, 427 nt
Filed under: uncultured bacterium
Lineage: Bacteria
Description: bacterial SSU rRNA
Rfam family: Bacterial small subunit ribosomal RNA
Source: RNAcentral
UGGGGAAUAUUGGGCAAUGGGCGCAAGCCUGACCCAGCCACGCCGCGUGAGUGAUGAAGGCCUUCGGGUCGUAAAGCUCUGUGGGGAGAGACGAAAAAACGUUGGCUAAUAUCCAACGGACUGACGGUAUCUCCUUAGCAAGCACCGGCUAACUCUGUGCCAGCAGCCGCGGUAAUACAGAGGGUGCAAACGUUGCUCGGAAUCAUUGGGCGUAAAGCGCACGUAGGCGGUCUGUUAAGUCGGUAGUGAAAGCCCUCGGCUUAACCGAGGAAGUGCUAUCGAAACUGGCAGACUUGAGUACCGGAGAGGGUCGCGGAAUUCCCGGUGUAGAGGUGAAAUUCGUAGAUAUCGGGAGGAACACCAGUGGCGAAGGCGGCGACCUGGACGGAUACUGACGCUGAGGUGCGAAAGCGUGGGGAGCAAACAG